AUUGAACGCUGGCGGCAGGCCUAAUACAUGCAAGUCGAACGAGUGGCGGACGGGUGAGUAAUGUCUGGGAAACUGCCUGAUGGAGGGGGAUAACUACUGGAAACGGUAGCUAAUACCGCAUACCAUCAGAUGUGCCCAGAUGGGAUUAGCUUGUUGGUGGGGUAACGGCUCACCAAGGCGACGAUCCCUAGCUGGUCUGAGAGGAUGACCAGCCACACUGGAACUUGAACAGGGUCCAGACGCCUACGGGAGGCAGCAGUGGGGAAUAUUUCACAAAGGGCGCAAGCCUUAAGCAGCCAUGCCGGGUGUAUGAAGAAGGCCUUCGGGUUGUAAAAUACUUUCAGUGAGGAAGCGUUACCCGACGAAGAAGCACCGGCUAACUCCGUGCCAGCAGCCGCGGUAAUUC
Molecule: ribosomal RNA, 406 nt
Filed under: uncultured bacterium
Lineage: Bacteria
Description: partial 16S ribosomal RNA
Rfam family: Bacterial small subunit ribosomal RNA
Source: RNAcentral